This 254-nucleotide ribosomal RNA is filed under the name uncultured bacterium. RNAcentral's name for it is "partial 16S ribosomal RNA". It matches the Rfam family "Bacterial small subunit ribosomal RNA", at positions 524 to 776 of the family's 1533-position model. The record is from RNAcentral.
UACAGAGGUCCCAAGCGUUGUUCGGAUUCAUUGGGCGUAAAGGGUGCGUAGGCGGCGCGGUAAGGUCGGGUGUGAAAUCUCGGAGCUUAACUCCGAAACUGCAUUCGAUACUGCCGUGCUUGAGGACUGGAGAGGAGACUGGAAUUUACGGUGUAGCGGUGAAAUGCGUAGAUAUCGUAAGGAAGACCAGUGGCGAAGGCGGGUCUCUGGACAGUUCCUGACGCUGAGGCACGAAGGCCAGGGGAGCAAACGGG